Molecule: ribosomal RNA, 300 nt
Filed under: uncultured Thermodesulfobacterium sp.
Lineage: Bacteria; Pseudomonadati; Thermodesulfobacteriota; Thermodesulfobacteria; Thermodesulfobacteriales; Thermodesulfobacteriaceae
Description: bacterial SSU rRNA
Rfam family: Bacterial small subunit ribosomal RNA
Source: RNAcentral
AGUAAGUCGGGGCCAGGGGCCGCGGUAAGACGGAGGAUCCAAGGGUUAUCCGGAAUCAUUGGGUUUAAAGGUUCCGUAGGCGGCCGUAUAAGUCAGCGGUGAAAGUUUUUGGCUUAACCAAAAAAUUGCCAUUGAUACUGUAGGGCUUGAAUAUUUGUGAAGUAACUAGAAUAUGUAGUGUAGCGGUGAAAUGCUUAGAUAUUACAUGGAAUACCAAUUGCGAAGGCAGGUUACUAACAAAUGAUUGACGCUGAUGGACGAAAGCGUGGGUAGCGAACAGGAUUAGAUACCCGUGUAGUC